CAGACUCUGAGGAAGAGUUUGUCCCUAAUUCAUUCUUAGUUAAAAGUGGCUCCGCCAGCCUGGGGGUCGCGGCGAACGUUGGGAAAUUCAGCUCCUAACCAACUCAUCACCAGAAACACAGUGGCAGACAGCUGUUAGGGCCGAACAUUAUCAUCAUCAUAAUACCUAUCACGGAGUGAACCCCUGCUAUGUGCCAGGCACUGUCCAGGCAUCUUCACUAAGAUUACAGCCUUUGACACUCACUACAGUCUAAUACAGUGUAAUUUCUUGCCUUCAUUUUCUAGUGGAGGAGAGAAAAUGGGAUUUCCCCAAAGAUGUACUGCUGUAAGUGGUAGAAUCAAG
This 342-nucleotide long non-coding RNA is filed under the name Homo sapiens (human). RNAcentral's name for it is "non-protein coding lnc-NARS2-1:3". The record is from RNAcentral. Lineage: Eukaryota; Metazoa; Chordata; Mammalia; Primates; Hominidae.